AGUCCGAUUUAGCCAUGCUAGUCGCACGAGUUCAGACUCGUGGCAAAUAGCUCAGUAACACGUGGCCAAACUGCCCUACAGAUCGCAAUAACUUCGGGAAACUGAGGCUAAUAGCGAAUACGGCUCUCACGUUGGAGUUGCAGAGAGCCGGAAACGCGUUAGUGCUGUAGGAUGUGGCUGCGGCCGAUUAGGUAGACGGUGGGGUAACGGCCCACCGUGCCGAUAAUCGGUACGGGUCGUGAGAGCGAGAGCCCGGAGACGGAAUCUGAGACAAGAUUCCGGGCCCUACGGGGCGCAGCAGGCGCGAAACCUUUACACUGCACGACAGUGCGAUAAGGGGACUCCGAGUGCGAGGGCAUACAGUCCUCGCUUUUGUACACCGUAAGGUGGUGUACGAACAAGAACUGGGCAAGACCGGUGCCAGCCGCCGCGGUAAUACCGGCAGUUCGAGUGAUGGCCGCUCUUAUUGGGCCUAAAGCGUUCGUAGCCGGCCACGCAAGUUCGUCGGGAAAUCUGCCCGCUUAACGGGCAGGCGUCCGGCGAAAACUGCGUGGCUUGGGACCGGGAGACUCGAGAAGUACGUUCGGGGUAGGAGUGAAAUCCCAUAAUCCUGAACGGACCACCAAUGGGGAAACCACGUUGAGAGACCGGACCCGACAGUGAGGGACGAAAGCCAGGGUCUCGAACCGGAUUAGAUACCCGGGUAGUCCUGGCUGUAAACAAUGCUCGCUAGGUAUGUCACGCGCCAUGAGCACGUGAUGUGCCGUAGUGAAGACGAUAAGCGAGCCGCCUGGGAAGUACGUCCGCAAGGAUGAAACUUAAAGGAAUUGGCGGG
RNAcentral lists this ribosomal RNA (835 nucleotides) under uncultured Salinigranum sp. RNAcentral describes it as "bacterial SSU rRNA". It matches the Rfam family "Archaeal small subunit ribosomal RNA", at positions 37 to 872 of the family's 1478-position model. Lineage: Archaea; Methanobacteriati; Methanobacteriota; Halobacteria; Halobacteriales; Haloferacaceae. The record is from RNAcentral.